Molecule: transfer RNA, 99 nt
Organism: Rhizoctonia solani
Lineage: Eukaryota; Fungi; Basidiomycota; Agaricomycetes; Cantharellales; Ceratobasidiaceae
Rfam family: tRNA
About the family: Transfer RNA (tRNA) molecules are approximately 80 nucleotides in length.
Source: Rfam
GCCCUGCUAGCUCAAUCGGUAGAGCGUGAGACUUUUACAAGCCUCGGCAGUAAAUCUGGGAAUAUCUCAAGGCUGCGGGUUCGAGCCCCGCGUGGGGCU